AUCCGAAUUGCGAAGCUGCAUACUGACCAUGCAUACUGUAAACCUCUCCAUACAUUCCAGCUGCAUGUGACAAACGACAUUAUCGCCAGUAUUCUAAAAGCUGACUCACAUUCAUUGAGUGGAGGUUCAAUCUGAGAUUCUCUUGAGUGUCAAUGCUGUUUUUGAAUAGCUGGAGGGUGAGUAGUCACAUAGUAAGGUAUGAUACUAUCCCUCCAGCUCAGAGGCGUAGCCAGGCAAAAUUUUGCCCCCCCCCCCUGAUAAAAUGUAUUGUAUAAAAAAGGGACUCCUUGAUUAUGAUUAUACAGUGUGUCGAAAAAAAACACGCUUUGGAAAUUCAACAGGCUGUCGUGCAUCACAAACGUACCUAAACAAUUCAAUUUUUACAUAGGACGAAAGAACAGUAAUUUAGCUUUUCA
Molecule: non-coding RNA, 416 nt
Organism: Paramuricea clavata
Lineage: Eukaryota; Metazoa; Cnidaria; Anthozoa; Malacalcyonacea; Plexauridae
Source: the annotation of a GenBank genome assembly